UACGUAGGGUGCAAGCGUUAAUCGGAAUUACUGGGCGUAAAGCGUGCGCAGGCGGUUAUGUAAGACAGGGGUGAAAUCCCCGGGCUUAACCUGGGAACUGCAUUUGUGACUGCAUAGCUAGAGUACGGCAGAGGGGGAUGGAAUUCCGCGUGUAGCAGUGAAAUGCGUAGAUAUGCGGAGGAACACCGAUGGCGAAGGCAAUCCCCUGGGCCUGUACUGACGCUCAUGCACGAAAGCGUGGGGAGCAAACAGG
RNAcentral lists this ribosomal RNA (253 nucleotides) under uncultured bacterium. RNAcentral's name for it is "partial 16S ribosomal RNA". It matches the Rfam family "Bacterial small subunit ribosomal RNA", at positions 524 to 776 of the family's 1533-position model. The record is from RNAcentral.